UUAGUCCUACGGGGGGCAGCAGUGAGGAAUAUUGGUCAAUGGACGAGAGUCUGAACCAGCCAAGUAGCGUGAAGGAUGACUGCCCUAUGGGUUGUAAACUUCUUUUAUAUGGGAAUAAAACAGGGUAUGCAUACCCUCUUGUAUGUACCAUAUGAACAAGCAUCGGCUAACUCCGUGCCAGCAGCCGCGGUAAUACGGAGGAUGCGAGCGUUAUCCGGAUUUAUUGGGUUUAAAGGGUGCGCAGGCGGUCUGUUAAGUCAGCGGUCAAAGCCCGGGGCUCAACCCCGGCCCGCCGUUGAAACUGG
This 305-nucleotide ribosomal RNA is filed under the name uncultured bacterium. Its description in RNAcentral is "bacterial SSU rRNA". It matches the Rfam family "Bacterial small subunit ribosomal RNA", at positions 333 to 636 of the family's 1533-position model. The record is from RNAcentral.